AUGGAAUCAUCACUUAACUUCCCUUGCAGGGUAUUUAAUACAGAAGAACCAGCUCCUGUGCCUAUCAAAAAUUCCAGUUUUCCACUUCCCAGUGUGGCUGUUACCACAGGCUCUGCUGGGGAUGAAACCUCUGCUCCCCUCCACAGGUACCCAGCCAUUGGCAUGAGGGGGUUUGGAGAAGUCCUGGGUUUUAGGCAGAUGAGAUAUAACCGGGACAAGCCCCCACAGUGCUCUCACCCUGGUGCUUGCACCCCGGUGCUCACACCCCCAGCGUGGAGCUGCUCAUUCCCAGCCUUGUCCAGGCAGAUGAGAUAUAACCGGGACAAGCCCCCACAGUGCUCUCACCCUGGUGCUUGCACCCCGGUGCUCACACCCCCAGCGUGGAGCUGCUCAUUCCCAGCCUUGUCCAGAGUGAACCAAGAGAAAAGGACAAGGGAGACGAGAAAGAAGGACAUGAUUCCGUUACUUGUAGGUGCAGUAGCUGCAGCAACUGCCUGUUUGGCUAGCGAAAUUAUGCUGCUCAAAUUAAGAAGGAAGAAACUAGAAAGUGCAUGGGCCCGGGAAUCCAUGUUGAAGAAGAAUAACCAGAACCUGUCCCACAGAGUUGAAACUCUGGAAAAAAAUUUCCAAGAAGGCCUGGAGAGCAUUAAGAAUGAGCUUAAGGAUGUCAGAGCGGAGCUGCAGAAGAAUCAAGGAAAUAAGGAGGAGGAUAUUGCAUAUCCUCUGGAAUCCUUCUUGAAGAAGAAAAACCAGGAGCUGUCCCACAAAGUUGCAUCUCUAGAAAAAGAAUCCCAGGAGGGUCUGGAAGCCAUAAAUCAUGAGCUUAAGGAUAUCAGAGCGGAGCUGGAGAAGAACCAAAGAAAGAAGGAAGAGGAUAUUGUAUUGGCCCUGAAAUCCUUCUUGAGGAAGAAAGACCGGCAGCUCUCCCAUAGAUUUGAAACUCUUGAAAAAGAUUUCCUUGAAGGUCUGGAGACCAUAAAGCAUGAGCUUAACAAUGUCAGAGCAGAACUGAAGAAGAAUCAAGGCAAUAAGGAAGAGGAAAGUGCAGAGGACCUGGAAUUUAAGCUGAACAAGAAUAUCCUGCUACUCUCCCAUAGAAUUAAAACUCUGGCAGAAGAUUGA
Molecule: long non-coding RNA, 1122 nt
Filed under: Catharus ustulatus (Swainson's thrush)
Lineage: Eukaryota; Metazoa; Chordata; Aves; Passeriformes; Turdidae
Description: lncRNA (ENSCUSG00005012108.1)
Source: RNAcentral